This 253-nucleotide ribosomal RNA is filed under the name uncultured bacterium. Its description in RNAcentral is "partial 16S ribosomal RNA". It matches the Rfam family "Bacterial small subunit ribosomal RNA", at positions 524 to 776 of the family's 1533-position model. The record is from RNAcentral.
UACGGAGGGUGCAAGCGUUGUCCGGAUUCAUUGGGAUUAAAGGGUGCGCAGGCGGGUCAUUAAGUCAGGGGUGAAAGACGGUUGCUCAACAAUCGCAGUGCCUUUGAUACUGGUGUUCUUGGGUAACCUUGAGGUAGGCGGAAUGGGUGGUGUAGCGGUGAAAUGCAUAGAUACCACCCAGAACUCCGAUUGCGAAGGCAGCCUACUGGAGGUCAACCGACGCUCAGGCACGAAAGCGUGGGGAUCAAACAGG